Molecule: non-coding RNA, 765 nt
Organism: Microcebus murinus (gray mouse lemur)
Lineage: Eukaryota; Metazoa; Chordata; Mammalia; Primates; Cheirogaleidae
Source: RefSeq, a predicted model, not a curated record
AUAAGCAGAAACACAGAGCUUUUAGAAGUUCAAAGAAAUAUUGGGAAGAUGGCGUUUUAUGUGAGUGGAUGAUAUGGCUGAAAGAACUAUGUAUUUUCAUUACUUCUCACCUUCCGAAGCAUCACAGUGAAGUAGGAUUAUUGGUGGGCAAGACUGAGGUGGCAGCACAGUGGAAGCCCUCAUGAGUGCAGUGCCAGCCACUUGUCCAGGGGGCCACAGUUGGGGAUGAAUUAGACCCUACAGCCAUCUGGGACAAGCCACUUCUCAGCCACCAUGUCUUCAAAUUCAUCCACAUUAAACUUGGUAAAGCCCCACUUCUUUGAGAUCUGGAUCUUCUGUGAGCCAGGAGCUUGAACGUGGCCCUGUGUGUGGCCUCAAUCACAUGCUCCUUGUUCUGCAGUUUGGUGCAAAUGGACAUGAUGACUUGGCCAACGUGAAUCCUGGCCACAGCGCCCUGGGGCUUUCCAAAAGCACCAUGCAUACCUGUCUGGAGCGUGGACUGGGAACAGCACAAGGUCUGACACAUGGACAUAUAUCAGAGGGGACUGUCUCCAAGGUCCUAGCAACCCAUACAAGCCACAGGCUGCAUACACUACCAAGGAGGCUGCUGUUUGCAGCCAUUGCACACCAGGCCCCCAUGGGGAAAGGAGUAUGGUCAGCUUAAUUGCCUGCAGGAUACCAAACUUUUAAGGAGCGUUUUAUUACUAACAUUAACUCUAAGAGGAAGUUAGGAAAUAGUGUCCUGGUAUUUAAAAUAUUCAUAUA